AUGUGCCCUAGCUCUCGAGUGGCUCAGUCCUUGAGCCCUCUUCCUCAUCCUCCAUCAGCCAUGUACACCAGUGCUAGUCCUCCGUCGGCACCGCCCAACAGCGUGAGCGCUCCGCCGCCCGUGAUCGUCAUCCCACUGUCGUCCCCGUCCAGUAGCGCGAGCGCUCCGGCGGCCAUGAUCCCCCGUCCUUCGUUGGCCCCGUCCAGCAGCACGAGCGCUACGGCGGCCAUGACCCCCCGUCCUCCGUUGGCACUGUCCAGCAACGCGAGCGCUCCGGUUGCCAUGAUCCCCCGUCCUCCGUUGGCCCCGUCCAGCAGCGCGAUCAAUCCAUCGGCCGUGAUUCCACACCCUCUGGCGGUGCCGUCCAGCAACGCGAGUCCUCUACCGGCCUCCGCGCUUGGUGGUGAUUUGGUUUUUCAAAACCAUAAUUGCGAUGAAGGAGUAUGCCAUGACAUUGAAAUACAUCCUCCUCCCAUCAAUUUGGAUAGCUUCCGGACACCCAAAAAAAGAGCCACGGACGUCCCAGUUUGUAGUUCAUCAUGUACACCCAAAUGUGAUGAGAACUUGAAGCCAGCUGUAGGAAUUCCAUAUGAUAGUAUGGAAGCGGUCGAGGAGUUUUACAAGGCUUAUGCGCACAAUGUUGGAUUUUCAGUUCGAAUUGGACAGAGGAAGACUGUAGAUAUGUGA
RNAcentral lists this ribosomal RNA (687 nucleotides) under Triticum aestivum (bread wheat). RNAcentral describes it as "partial small subunit ribosomal RNA". The record is from RNAcentral. Lineage: Eukaryota; Viridiplantae; Streptophyta; Magnoliopsida; Poales; Poaceae.